GGGGUCAUAGCUCAGUGGUAGAGCAUUUGCCUAAUAAGCAUAAGGCUCUAGGUUCAAUCUUCAUUUCA
RNAcentral lists this transfer RNA (68 nucleotides) under Cricetulus griseus (Chinese hamster). It matches the Rfam family "tRNA". From Rfam's summary of the family: Transfer RNA (tRNA) molecules are approximately 80 nucleotides in length. Their secondary structure includes four short double-helical elements and three loops (D, anti-codon, and T loops). Lineage: Eukaryota; Metazoa; Chordata; Mammalia; Rodentia; Cricetidae. The record is from Rfam by way of RNAcentral.